AUCCUGUAGAAAACCACAGAGCUCCUUCACUCCAGAAUCUUUCAGGUUGUUUCCACUCAGGUCCAGUUCAGUCAGAUGUUGGUUGGACUUCAGAGCUGAGGCCAGAGAAGAACAGCUGAUCUCUGACAACC
Poecilia latipinna (sailfin molly) is the source of this 131-nucleotide long non-coding RNA. RefSeq lists it as uncharacterized. The record is from RefSeq and is a predicted model, not a curated record. The transcript is spliced from 2 exons. Lineage: Eukaryota; Metazoa; Chordata; Actinopteri; Cyprinodontiformes; Poeciliidae.